This 460-nucleotide ribosomal RNA is filed under the name uncultured bacterium. RNAcentral describes it as "partial 16S ribosomal RNA". It matches the Rfam family "Bacterial small subunit ribosomal RNA", at positions 338 to 795 of the family's 1533-position model. The record is from RNAcentral.
CCUACGGGAGGCUGCAGUGAGGAAUAUUGGUCAAUGGACGCAAGUCUGAACCAGCCAUGCCGCGUGCAGGAAUACGGCUCUAUGAGUUGUAAACUGCUGUUGUACGAGGGUAAACGCAGAUACGCGUAUCUGUCUGAAAGUAUCGUACGAAUAAGGAUCGGCUAACUCCGUGCCAGCAGCCGCGGUAAUACGGAGGAUUCAAGCGUUAUCCGGAUUUAUUGGGGUUAAGGGGUGCGUAGGCGGUCGGAUAAGUUAGAGGUGAAAUCCCGAGGCUCAACUUCGGAAUUGCAUCUGAUACUGCUAGGCUAGAGAAUAGUUGCGGUAGGCGGAAUGUAUGGUGUAGCGGUGAAAUGCGUAGAGAUCAUACAGAACACCGAUUGCGAAGGCAGCUUACCAAGCUACUUCUGACGUUGAGGCACGAAAGCGAGGGGAGCAAACGGGAUUAGAUACCCGGGUAGUC